GUGUCAGCAGCCGCGGUAAAACGUAGGAGGCGAGCGUUAUCCGGAUUUACUGGGCGUAAAGCGCACGCAGGUGGCCGUGUAAGUCGGACAUGAAAGCUCCUGGCUUAACUAGGAGAGGGGGUUCGAAACUGCAGGGCUUGAGGUUGGGAGAGGGACGUGGAAUUCCCGGUGUAGUGGUGGAAUGCGUAGAUAUCGGGAGGAACACCAGUGGCGCAAGCGGCGUCCUGGCCCACACCUGACGCUGAGGUGCGAAAGCGUGGGGAGCAAACAGGAUUAGAUACCCGAGUAGUCC
This 292-nucleotide ribosomal RNA is filed under the name uncultured bacterium. RNAcentral describes it as "partial 16S ribosomal RNA". It matches the Rfam family "Bacterial small subunit ribosomal RNA", at positions 505 to 796 of the family's 1533-position model. The record is from RNAcentral.